RNAcentral lists this unclassified non-coding RNA (299 nucleotides) under fungal sp. Its description in RNAcentral is "partial internal transcribed spacer region". The stretch from base 1 to 46 matches the Rfam family "Eukaryotic small subunit ribosomal RNA", at positions 1786 to 1831 of the family's 1831-position model. Lineage: Eukaryota; Fungi. The record is from RNAcentral.
AAGUCGUAACAAGGUAUCUGUAGGUGAACCUGCAGAUGGAUCAUUUCGAUGAAAACCUUUUUUCUGAGGUGUGGCUCGCACCUGUCUAACUAAACUUGAGCUACCUUUUUAACACGGUUGCAUCGGUUGGGCCUGUCAAACAGUGCAAUUACGCGCUGGGAGACGGUCUCGACACUUUUAACCAAACACUUUUGAUGAUCUAGGAUUUGAAUGAAGUUCAUUUUUACGAUGGAACCGACUGGUAAUGCGGUCGACUAAAUCUAAAAAACAACUUUUGGCAACGGAUCUCUUGGUUCUCC